UUUUUUUUUUUUUUUUUUGAGACAGGGUCUUACUCUGUCACUCUGUUAGCUGAGUGUACUGGUAGGAUCAUAGCUCACUGCAACCUCAAACUCCUGGGCUCAAGCAAUCCUCCCACCUCAGUGCACUCCUGGGCAGCUGGGACUACAGGUGUGCACCACCACACCUAGCUAAUUUUUAAGUAGAAAUGGGAAUCUCACCAUAUUGCCCGGGCUGGUCUCCAACCCCUGGACUCAAGCAAUCCUCCUGCCUCGGUCUCCCAAAGUGCUGGGAUUACAGGCAUGAGCCACCACACCCAGCCCAUUCAUUCAUUCAUUCAUUCAUUCAUUCAGCAGGUAACUGACAACUGAAAAACCAUCCUUCCUCCAGUGAUGCCUGAAAAGCAGAAACUCAAACACUCUGAAGGUCUCCAUCAAUUUGAUUGUUGGAAAUGAAUGCCUGUAGGUUCAUGCCAGGUGGGACUAUCCCAGUGGCUGCAGUCAGUGGCUUUGUUGUUGAUGUUGUUGUUAUCUACCUUCUCCUCUGCCACCCCCAAAUUACAAAUGGAAUACAGCACUUCCAGGUAGAAAAUUUGGGAAAUGCAGGAGAACAGAGAGAAGAAAAGAGCCACCAACCAAAACUUCACCAGCCAGAGGGAAACCUCUGUUCUCAUUGUCUUAUUUCUUCCUUCCAGUGUGUUUUGUUCCUCUGGAGUGAAGUUUUAUUGGCUAUUCUUUUAAACAUCUCCUGUGCUGUCUCCUCCCAAAUUAGAAAAAUCUAGAGGUGGUCUUCCGUGCGUGUCCAUGUAGGCAGUGAGCUUGAUUUUAACCCUGGUAGCUAGAAGUAGAAGACAGAGAAAAAGGAAGAGGAAAGUAUUCCAUAUACUGACACUUUUCAGGGGAAGUGUUUGAGUUUCUAGAAGGGUUAAGGGAAGAGAAAGUCUCAGAAUCUAGUACGAAGAGCACAGCCUGUGGCGUCAGCUGGAGUGGGGUGCAACCUUUGGCUGUGCCACCCCCUACUGUGUGACCUUGGGCAUGACCCUUCACCUCUCCAGGCCGCCGUACCUCUGUAAAAUGUGGAAGGGAUUAAAUGGGAUAAUGUGGAAGGGAUUAAAUGGGAUAAUGUAGGCAGGCAUGGUGGCUCACACCUGUAAUUCCAGCACCUUGGGAGGAUGAAGCAGGAGGAUCGCUUGAGGCCAGGAGUUCAAGACCAGCCUGGGCAACAUAGUGAGACCCCAUCUCUAAAAAAAAAAAAAAUUCAGAAUUUGCCACACAUCGUGGUGCAUACUUAUAGUUCCAGCUACUUGAGAGGCUGAAGCGGGAGAGUCACUUGAGCCCAGAAGUUUGCAGUUACAGUGAGCUAUGAUUGUACCACUGCACUCCAGCCUGGGCAACAGAGCAAGACCCUGUCUCAAAACAAAAAAACAAAGAAGAAUGUAUCAAACCAACAAACUUAUAACAUGAUUAUUAUUAUUACUAUUUUCUGAGUCUUGGAUGCCAAAAUCGUUGUGAAGAUUAAAUGAACUAAUAUUUCUCAGGUACUUGGAAAGAGAAUAAAGCAUCCAUAUUUGGUAGUUUAUAAAUAGAAAGGGGGGCAAGUCUCCCACCUUUCCACCCACUGUCUUUCUGCCACCAUUUUGAGGGGUCUUUACUGGUUUGAGCUGAAACCACGGCUUUUCUGAGCUGGUACCUUUAUAAAGAGGAAAGAUCUCUCUUUCUCCCUUUCUUCUUCUUCUUUUUGUUUUUUUUUAGACAGAGUCUCACUGUGUCGCCCAGGCUGGAGCGCAGUGGCGCGAUCUUGGCUCACAGCAACCUCUGCCUCUCGGGUUCAAGCAAUUCUCCUGCUUCAGCCUCCCAAGUAGCUGGGAUUACAGGCACCUGCCACCACGCCUGGCUAAUUUUUGUAUUUUUAGUAGAGACGGGCUUUCACCAUGUUGGCCAGUCUGGUCUUGAACUCCUGACCUCAAGUGAUCCACCCGCCUUGGCCUCCCAAAGUGCUGGGAUUACAGGCGUGAGCCACUGUGUCUAGCCUACUUAACUAUCUUUCAUAGGGAAAACGAAACCAAAAUGUUGAGUGAAUUUCCUGCCCUCAUGUCUUCAUGGCAUAGAAACCUAGCAUUGGAGAUAAGUCUUUUACCCUUACUUUGUCCCAGCAAACAGCUGUCAGGAGGGAC
Long non-coding RNA from Macaca fascicularis (crab-eating macaque), 2150 nucleotides. Lineage: Eukaryota; Metazoa; Chordata; Mammalia; Primates; Cercopithecidae. The record is from Ensembl.